Molecule: unclassified non-coding RNA, 230 nt
Filed under: plant metagenome
Description: partial contains small subunit ribosomal RNA and internal transcribed spacer 1
Rfam family: Eukaryotic small subunit ribosomal RNA (bases 1-46)
Source: RNAcentral
AAGUCGUAACAAGGUUUCCGUAGGUGAACCUGCGGAAGGAUCAUUACAAGGUUCUUAGUGACAUCUCGAAAGAGAUCCCUCCCAAGUAUCCCACCCGUGUCUAUAUACUCUUGUUGCUUUGGCGGGGCGUGGCCUCUAACUGCGGGGCCUCUGGCCUUCGUAGUACCCCCGCCCAGAGGGAACCAAACUCUGAAUGUUAGUGAUGUCUGAGUACUAUAUAAUAGUUAAAA